CAGAGGGUGCGAGCGUUAAUCGGAAUUACUGGGCGUAAAGCGCGCGUAGGCGGCUUUGCAAGUCGGGUGUGAAAUCCCCAGGCUUAACCUGGGAACUGCAUUCGAGACUGCAUUGCUAGAGUAUGGGAGAGGGAAGUGGAAUUUCCGGUGUAGCGGUGAAAUGCGUAGAUAUCGGAAGGGGCAUCAGUGGCGAAAGCGACUUCCUGGACCAAUACUGACGCUCAUGUGCGAAAGCGUGGGGAGCAAACAGGAUUAGAUACCCUGGUAGUCCACGCCAUAAACGAUGACAACUGGAUGUCGGGAGGGUCUGCCUCUCGGUGUCGUAGCUAACGCGUUAAGUUGUCCGCCUGGGGAGUACGGCCGCAAGGUUG
RNAcentral lists this ribosomal RNA (371 nucleotides) under uncultured organism. RNAcentral's name for it is "bacterial SSU rRNA". It matches the Rfam family "Bacterial small subunit ribosomal RNA", at positions 526 to 896 of the family's 1533-position model. The record is from RNAcentral.